AUGGAUAAGUGUUUAUUGUUCCAUCUAAAUACAGGUGGAUUGUUCAAAGCUGCUUGCAUCGUAGCCAUGGCGGAAACACCAUCACUUCCACCUCCUUCAAAAUCAUCGCUCUUAACCUCCAAUCUAGAGUAUACUUUCUUGAAAUUCUACCUCGUUGCCAUUGUUUUCUUUGAUAUUGGUGGAGAUUUGAGCGAUUUCAAUUCUUCGGCAUCGAUUUCAUGCCAUGCUUUUUGGGCUAAUAAAUGGAGGGGGUAUCUAGUAGUUUUGAUCUUUCAUUUAAUUAUAAGUUAG
Molecule: non-coding RNA, 291 nt
Organism: Vicia faba (fava bean)
Lineage: Eukaryota; Viridiplantae; Streptophyta; Magnoliopsida; Fabales; Fabaceae
Source: the annotation of a GenBank genome assembly